GUCUUUUUGAGGUAUAAUUUAAAGUCUAAUCUGCCCACUGAUUUAUAUUAAAGGGCUGCAGUAUUAUGACUGUACAAAGGUAGCAUAAUCAUUAGUUUUUUAAUUGGAAACUUGUAUGAAAGAUUUAAUGAAAUAUUAACUGUCUCUUAUUUUUUAUUAGAAUUUUAUUUUUUAGUAAAAAAGCUAAAAUAAUUUUAAAAGACGAGAAGACCCUAUAGAGUUUUAUAUUUAAUUUUAUUUUAAAUUUAUAUAAAAAUUAAUAUUAAAAUAAAAUUAAAUAUUAUAUUGGGGUGAUAGAAAAAUAAGAAUAACUUUUUUUAACAGUAAACAUAAAUAAAUGAUUAAAUGAUCCAUUGUUGAUGAUUAUAAGAAAAAAUUACCUUAGGGAUAACAGCGUAAUAUUUUUUUUUAGUUCAAAUAAAAAAAAAAGUUUGCGACCUCGAUGUUGGAUUAAGAUAAAAUUUAGAUGCAAAAGUUUAAAAUUUUGAUCUGUUCGAUCAUUAAAAUCUU
Molecule: ribosomal RNA, 510 nt
Filed under: Erebia alcmena
Lineage: Eukaryota; Metazoa; Arthropoda; Insecta; Lepidoptera; Nymphalidae
Description: partial 16S ribosomal RNA
Rfam family: Bacterial large subunit ribosomal RNA (bases 387-510)
Source: RNAcentral